CCUUUUUCUGAACCAGGAAGUAACUUCCCCCAACGACCACGAGCGGUCGCCUCUGACGUGGACAGACCUUUAAAGCAGAACAGGCUGAUGGCUACAUGAAUGGGUGAAGUAGCCUUCUCCAACCGGAGCGGGGCGUGUCUCUGUGGGCGGCCUCCUCAGUGCGGUGCCGCUGCCUGUGCUGCUGAUGCUGCUGUGUCUCUUCCAGUGGAUGCAGGUGGAGAUGCGUCAAAUCCACCAGAAAUACCAAGAAGCAUCCGACAGAAACGCGGCGACGGAACCUCCAAAAUAAAAGCCACCGAAUGUGGGGAUGCAGGUGGAGCGAGUCGGCCAGGAUCGUUCACAUCUGUCUUGAAGGAGAGAGGGGGUAAAGAAAACCUACGUUCCGGUCUGAUCUACGCUCUGGAUAAAAAAAAAAAAAAGAAACAAAGAAGCGUGAACUGCUACAUAUUUAACCAGGGAUCUUUACAAACCUCCCCAAGACUGGAGAAUAUUAUCGGAGGGAUUGCUGCAAAACACAAGUAAUGACUUUUCUCUUCUUUUCUGUGACUACAUAUUUCUGUGGGGGGAUUUGUCACUCUAUGCUAAAGCCGUACACAUGAUGACAGGUGAAGUCCAGGAAAAAUGUCUUACAAAUAGACUGAACAUACCAAUAAUUAACAAUUGUUGGCUUUGUUCUUCUGAGAGGCAGCCAGCAGCAAACGAUGCGUAAUGGGUCAAUAUUUGGAGGAGAUUUGGGAGGCGAGUGGAUUCGUGGUCUGCUGUUUGUUUUCUGCGGUUCUGGGAGCAGACCCGUUGAAUUCGGUGUGAUGGACGUAUAUGUUUGAAGCCACGCGUGACAGAGUGUGGGAAUUCAGGAAAGAAAUAUCACAGUGAUCGCUGAAAGUCCGUGUUUCUGUAAGAUGUGGAUUUACUUACGCAGACGACUUGUGAAGGGUUAUUCUUCCAGCUUCCGACACUCGGGAUAUCGUUUUAUUUCAACAGCUCCUUUUGUUUUUUCUAAAUUGUAGACAGUGAGAAACAGUGUAGUCUGUUGAUGAUACAUGUGGCCUAAUUUUCACACACACAGCAUGCGUACUUGUACACGUACUUCUCCUUCACUCCAAAUCCCUGAAUUAAAAUGUUGCUGGAAUGCCGAUCGGGAUUUUGCCAAAAUAGCCUCAGUUUAUCAUUAAUUAUUACCAACUAAUUUAUAUUUUAAAUGCUGUAAUAGAAGCUUUAUGACGCGGGGAAUUAGGCCACCGGAGGGUAUAUUCUACUUUCUUUACUGGACAGCUGCAUUAUAAUUGGGUGCUGGAGGGCAGCCUGGCUGGUCAGACCCUCUGUGGUGUUCAUGCCCUCUGAGAAGUGUUUAUCUCUAAGUUGAUGUGAACAGCACGACGUGGUGAAAUGCGUACAGUACGUGGAUAUUUGGGGGCUUUAUAUAGCGCCGAGUCCUGCUGCAACUGUAUGCAGCGACUCCUGCGCCACCGUGUCGCCAAACGCCCACUGGGGUGCGUAACGGUGUCUCUACACAAAAUCCGCGAACCAGAGGAUAUAUAACAAGGACUACAAGCCGGUAGAUCACUGACUAUGUGAUACCAGUCGGGUUGUGGGUUUAGUUGUGCUAACAAUAAUUAAACAGAGCUGAUGUACGGUAGUUCAGAGCCGCAGAGGCAGCGAUGGGAGGUGAGGAGGAAAGCAGACACCACAUACCGAGGGUCCCUGUAAGCGUCUGUGGGAAAACUGAG
Long non-coding RNA from Eleginops maclovinus (Patagonian blennie), 1727 nucleotides. RefSeq lists it as uncharacterized. Lineage: Eukaryota; Metazoa; Chordata; Actinopteri; Perciformes; Eleginopidae. The record is from RefSeq and is a predicted model, not a curated record. The transcript has 4 exons.